GACGAACGCUGGCGGCGUGCUUAACACAUGCAAGUCGAACGAAGAGCGAUGGAAGCUUGCUUCUAUCAAUCUUAGUGGCGAACGGGUGAGUAACGCGUAAUCAACCUGCCCUUCAGAGGGGGACAACAGUUGGAAACGACUGCUAAUACCGCAUACGAUCUAAACUCGGCAUCGAGGAUAGAUGAAAGGUGGCCUCUACAUGUAAGCUAUCACUGAAGGAGGGGAUUGCGUCUGAUUAGCUAGUUGGAGGGGUAACGGCCCACCAAGGCGAUGAUCAGUAGCCGGUCUGAGAGGAUGAACGGCCACAUUGGGACUGAGACACGGCCCAGACUCCUACGGGAGGCAGCAGUGGGGAAUCUUCCGCAAUAGACGAAAGUCUGACGGAGCAACGCCGCGGGAGUGAUGACGGCCUUCGGGUUGUAAAGCUCUGUUAAUCGGGACGAAAGGCCUUCUUGCGAAUAGUGAGAAGGAUUGACGGUACCGGAAUAGAAAGCCACGGCUAACUACGUG
This 510-nucleotide ribosomal RNA is filed under the name uncultured bacterium. RNAcentral's name for it is "partial 16S ribosomal RNA". It matches the Rfam family "Bacterial small subunit ribosomal RNA", at positions 28 to 507 of the family's 1533-position model. The record is from RNAcentral.